GAUGAAGAACGUAGCGAAAUGCGAUACGUAAUGUGAAUUGCAGAAUUCAGUGAAUCAUCGAAUCUUUGAACGCAUAUUGCGCUCUUUGGUAUUCCGAAGAGCAUGCUUGUUUGAGUAUCAGUAAACACCUCAAAGACUUCAAUUUGUUUUGAAUGGCUUUGGACUUGAGCAAUCCCAACACCAGUCUUUACGAUCGGUGGAGGGUUGCUUGAAAUGCAGGUGCAGCUGGACAUUCUCCUGAGCUAAAAGCAUAUUUAUUUAGUCCCGUCAAACGGAUUAUUACUUUUGCUGCAGCUAACAUAAAGGGAGUUUGACCGUAUUGGCUGACUGAUGCAGGAUUUCACAAGGGUCGGCAACGAUUCUUGUAAAACUCGAUCUCAAAUCAAGUAAGACUACCCGCUGAACUUAAACAUAUCAAUAAGCGGAGGA
This 429-nucleotide unclassified non-coding RNA is filed under the name soil metagenome. RNAcentral describes it as "partial contains 5.8S ribosomal RNA, internal transcribed spacer 2, and large subunit ribosomal RNA". The stretch from base 1 to 120 matches the Rfam family "5.8S ribosomal RNA", at positions 35 to 154 of the family's 154-position model. The record is from RNAcentral.